GACGAACGCUGGCGGCGUGCUUAACACAUGCAAGUCGAACGGUGAAGCGCCUUCCUUUUUGGUGGGUGUGGAUGAGUGGCGAACGGGUGAGUAACACGUGAGUAACCUGCCCCCUUCUUCUGGAUAACCGCAUGAAAGUGUGGCUAAUACGGGAUAUUCUGGGUCUGUCGCAUGAUGGGUCUGGGAAAGAUAUUGUUUCGGUGGGGGAUGGGCUCGCGGCCUAUCAGCUUGUUGGUGGGGUGAUGGCCUACCAAGGCGGUGACGGGUAGCCGGCCUGAGAGGGUGGACGGUCACACGGGGACUGAGACACGGCCCAGACUCCUACGGGAGGCAGCAGUGGGGAAUAUGGCACAAUGGGCGCAAGCCUGAUGCAGCGACGCCGCGUGAGGGAUGGAGGCCUGCGGGUUGUGAACCUCUUUCGCCAGUGAAGCAGGCCUGCCUCGUUUGUGGGUGGGUUGACGGUAGCUGGAUAAGAAGCGCCGGCUAACUACGUG
Molecule: ribosomal RNA, 494 nt
Filed under: uncultured bacterium
Lineage: Bacteria
Description: partial 16S ribosomal RNA
Rfam family: Bacterial small subunit ribosomal RNA
Source: RNAcentral